Molecule: ribosomal RNA, 253 nt
Filed under: uncultured bacterium
Lineage: Bacteria
Description: partial 16S ribosomal RNA
Rfam family: Bacterial small subunit ribosomal RNA
Source: RNAcentral
UACGUAGGGUGCGAGCGUUAAUCGGAAUUACUGGGCGUAAAGCGUGCGCAGGCGGUUUUGUAAGCCAGAUGUGAAAUCCCCGGGCUUAACCUGGGAAUGGCAUUUGGGACUGCAAGGCUGGAGUGUGGCAGAGGAGACUGGAAUUCCUGGUGUAGCAGUGAAAUGCGUAGAUAUCAGGAGGAACACCAAUGGCGAAGGCAGCUCGCUGGAACGGUACUGACGCUGAGGCGCGAAAGCGUGGGGAGCGAACAGG